GGAGACGUCACGCAUAGUAUAAAUGACGUCACAUCCGGGCAGCUAGGUCUGUUGAGCAGUCGGAGCACCACGUGAAAGUCAUGAGCGUGAUGGAGUCCAGUGAGGGGACCCCGUGCAGUGAAGGAACGAGUCUGCAGGUACAGCACAAAUAGUUGUUUACGAUGGUAAUUUGUUGAAAUGACUAAGUACACCUCUUUGAAGGUAUAUUGAUAUUUAGUCUCACUAAAGCUGGUAUCUUAAUGCCGCCACUGAUUUGAAUGUAUUAAACCAUUUGUAUAUUAGAACUUAUGAAGUAUGCAAGACAUCACAAAUGUUUGGAGAAUUUGCCUCCUUUGUUUCAAUAACAAUCUGUCUUGAUUGCUUUAUACUAUUGACACCAUGUAUGCAUGUGUGCUCAUAACUGCUUUACGUGAGCGAUUUUAAGUCUAAUGUCCCAUUAUUUCCACUACUGUAUCCCUGAAGGAAAUGUCUUAAUUUUUUUAAUUAAAUUAACUCUUUACAGGACCGCAGAGAUGAAUUCCUCAGACAUGACUUGAACGCUGGUACUCAACUAUGACUGAGUUGCUAAAGUAAGUUUAGUUUUAUACCUGGUGGUGACGGUGCAUUGGGUGCGUGCAGACCUUUCCAGCGAGGCUCAGCCUGCCGUGGCUCUGUCCUUUCCUGUAGUGUCUGCUAGAGAGACGUGAGGCUGUUUGAGGCCCUGCUGUGGCCCCUCGCUGCAGGGUUAUAGGAAAACCUCAGACACGUGGACAGGAAACCUCCAUCUGUUGGUUAAAGGAAACCAGUCCCGGUUUCAAUCUGUAUUCAUUCUUAUUGUAGUCAUGGACGUGAUGUGGGAGUCCCGUGAGCCAGUGAGGAGACGCCGUGCCGCGAAGGAACGAGUCUGCAGGACCGCAGAGAUGAAUUCCUCAGACCUGACUUGACAGCUGGGACUCAACUAUGACUGAGUUGCUAAAGUAAGUUUAGUCAUAUAGCUGGUGGUGACGGUGCAUUGGGUGCGUGCAGACCUUUCCAGCGAGGCUCAGCCUGCCGUGGCUCCGUCCUUUCCUGUAGUGUCUGCUAGAGAGACGUGAGGCUGUUUGAGGCCCGGCCGUGACUCUUUAUGGCCUGGUUAUAGGUAAACCUCCGACAUUUACUGUCUUGUGCUUCCAGACGGAUGAUGUUCUCAGCUUGCUGCUCAGUUGUCUCUUCACUCUUUAAUCCUGUUUUUUUGCUGCACAGGAACAGAUUCCAGUCAAAUCUGAGGCCUUGAGCUGCCGUUGAGUCCACUUACGCCAUUGUGCACAGCUUCCAGCUGGGUUCAAUGAGCCGUUUCAUGGUCUUCUGCUGUGUUGAACCGGAGAACUAAAAGUGUCCAUAAGCAGAACUUUGACGCAGGUGAGCAUGCAGUAUUCCAACAGGCUGAUGGCUUAUUUUUUACAGUAAAAAAUUGAUUAUUUUAUUUGUUUGCAGAUUUCAUCAGAGUUGGAGAGUUCAUCUGCUGAAGGAAAACAAAUGUAGCAUUUCUGUGUACAGUUGCUGUUAUUCCGCUUCUAAAUAUAAAAAACAUUCUUGUAAUGGCUUCCCUGGUCUUUCUCACGUUGGGUUUAGUGCAAUGAUGUUAGUUGAUGUGCUGUUGGCUCAAUGUUUUGGUGAGUUCUGCAUUAGACUGUUAAGGCCACUCGCCUUUGACAAUGCAGAGACCAGACGUUUAACUUUCACUUACUCAACAAGAACACUGUACGGCACCGAAGAACUUCAUACAUUACAGCACUGGUGCCGCUCACAUGCGCUGAUGGACACGUUGGUCAGACAACGAGGGACAAGUGGAGGCUCUGCUAGUUAAAAGGAUUUUUGGGCCAAUGUUGGAUUGCGUUCAAAUAACUGUCCUUGCUGUCUUCAUAAAGGUUUACACAUUUUAUAUUUCAAUAUGAUUACGAAGUUGACAAAUUAAACCUUGACCUACAUGUAUAGUAUCCAAUAAAUUCUAGUUUGUAGUAAACUCUACAUUAACAGUAGAGGACCAAUUUAGUUGAGGCUGAUUCUCUCAACGGACGUGCUGCACAUAUGUAACGGAGUGCCACAUUGAGGUACAAAAUAUGGG
Gasterosteus aculeatus aculeatus (three-spined stickleback) is the source of this 2083-nucleotide long non-coding RNA. The record is from Ensembl. NCBI's taxonomy places the organism in Eukaryota, Metazoa, Chordata, Actinopteri, Perciformes, Gasterosteidae.